AGGACCAAAGCAGAGUGUGCUGUUUCUACACAACCACCACCAGGAAAGAGGCAGAGGGCCUGGGCCAUGCUGGAGUCCUCUGAGAGGGAGCAACCUCGACCAUAGCUGUGCUGCAAGCUGAUUCCAGCCCUGGGUCAGCAGCACCUGGAGAACAGCAGCAGGAGGUGGUGUGAGAGCAGUGGCUCAUGGGCAGAGCUAUCCGUGGGAAACUGCAGCUGCCACCCCCUCCCGAGGGCAGCCCAGAGGAGUGGAGGCUCAGCAUAAAAUGAAAAAGGGGAGUGAGGGACACAAGGAGGUGGGAGGUGGGUGGCCCCAGCCCCACAAACUGAGCAGAGACCCUCUCUUCACCCUAGACUCUGCAGGGGCACCCCAGGCUGGUAGACCAGGUCCUCUGGGCAUGGGCCCAGGAGGCAGGCCUGCCCUAAGGGUCAUGCAAAGGGUACAGGGCCACACACACUGGUGCCCUGCUUAGACAUCAGCCUCCAGGCUGACUCGGGAUCAGGCCAGGUUUGAUCCUGUGCUUGACUGGGCCAGGACCCGUGGCUAGAGCACCUGGGGACCCUUGUUCAGUCCUGGUCUGCUGGAAGGGGGAUAGCAGAUUUAGGACCCCACAGCACAGCAGUGAUGAGCAUUUUACUCUUUUGGUCUCCUUGAGGAAUAGGACAAGGAGUCCUCUGGGGACAGACGAGGACUUACACAAUGGCCUCAGUUGUGGCCUCUGCUUUCUGAGCUUGGUUAAAACACUCACCAUGGCAGAAAGAACACAGCUUGGGUUCUCACACCUCACUUUCCACAGCCCCUAAUGGCAGCAGUGCACAUGGAAGAGAUGCCUCCUAUGACGCCAAGGCCUCCAGUGCUCACCGAUGCCCUCAUUGAAGUUGGGUAGAACUUGUCAGUGAAGAGGGGCUCAAGCAGCUCACGGAAGCAGAACUUCAGCAUGUUUGCAAUGGCGUGUACCUCCAUCUCACUCAUCAGCAUCGACACGUCCCUGUUAUCUGGAAAGAACAUGGAAGUGCUGCAGCCUCCUUGAGGAUCCCAAUAAAUGAAGAAAAGACACAGUGAAGAAUGUGAUGUGACCCGGCCAUGGAGCUCUGUGAGAUCUCAUUGUGGACAUUGACGCCCACACCUCCAUCACGACCUGAUCCAGCUGCCUUCAGCACCUGGAUGUCUGUGGCCACUCCAGACCCACAGUAGAUGCCCACCUCCUUCAUGCCAUGAUGCUUGAUCUACUCCACACAUUGCUGCAAGAUAAAGGGCACCUUGGCAGAUGCAGCCCUGGACACAGUUGGCACGGCCCAUAGGGCAGCAGGAGCAGCAGCCUGGGGAAGAAGGGGAGAGUAAGAGGUCAGAGCAGACUUGACUGGAGACCUCUCUGCCCCAACAGAGGCCUGGUUCAAGCCCUACCUCCAGCUCCAGAGGACCCUUAGGCCACGGUGGCAUUGCUCCAUCAGGGUCAGCUGGAUCUUUGGAGUGAGGGUCUUCCAGUGAAAAGCUGCCCAGCACAACGUAUACCCAGGAGAAGACAGAAGACUGGAGAGGCAGUGGCUGGGGCGACAGGGACAAAGGAAAACCAGUUCGGCAGAACCAUUGGCUUAAGUGAGAAAAGUCCUGAAGUAUCAGGUCUGUGCUUGGCAGGCUGGUGCAUUUGUGUGGCCUCAGUUUCCCUAUUUUAAGAAUGAAAGUUGGGAAUCAACCAUCUUGUUUAUCCAGCUGUGAUCCUGAAUCAGUUGCCAGGAAAGGAGAUGUGGAAAGCUGGUCACUGUCCCGCUCCUGCCCACUAAUCUCUGGGUUCCCUCCUCUGACUCUGCUCAGCCUCCAGAUUCUCGGGGAAGGCCCCAAACUCACUCUUCCUGUAGGAGGUGCAGGUGCACUCUUUGCAUUUGCAGGAGCUGGUGCAGUGCAGGAGCUACCUGCAGGGAGGAGAAAAAGGCAGUGAGCAGUGAGUGUGGUGCAGGGUUAGAAGCAGCCCCUCAGCAUCCUCCUGCUCACUGCAUGGGAAAUCUGUUACCUAGUUCCAUCCUGUUACCUGUUACCUAGCCCAGCCCCGCCUUUCCGCCCCACAGGCUCGGAUGGGCAGGUGCCCUCUUUUUCAUACCACACAGAGACUUAAGUGGGGAAUCUUGAAGAAGCAAUGUCUCCCACCUCCCUACCAGCCCAGGCAGCUCAAAUGCUGGACAGAACACUGGGUCCCAGCUCAGCACACCUCUGGCCUAUGGGUGACCUGGAGCAGGGGCAGUUUUGAGCCUCAUUCCUCUCUCCUUGGAAAUGGGAGGCACUGGGACAAUGGUAAGGUUUUCAGUGAUAAUAAUAAAAGCUACUGGUAAGAAAAAAAGCACUAGAAGUACAAAGUAAAAAAAAAAAAAAAUCCACUUUAGGUAGAGCUCAAAAUGCAUCUGCCUCCUGCAUUUUUUAAUCCCCCAUUAAAAAUUGGGGAUCCUAAAGGCCCCGAAACCUGGCAUACUUUACCAGUGGUGCAGGAGCAGUUGGGGUCCAUCUGGAGAGCAGGUGAGGCUGGAGCACCUAUGCCAGAGGUGAAGAAGCAGGCAAGCAAGUGGGAGGUGGCUUUGUAGUUGGGGAGGGGUGCUGGGUGCAGAGGUCCUGCCCCAGGCCUGGCUCUGGUUCCGGCAGUGUCAGAGGCACUCUGGGUUCAGGGCCCGGCUGUGCGCAGCAGAUGGGCCAAGUGGAGGAUCCUCUUUAGCGAGGCUGGUGUGCACCCUGGGGGUGGCCCUUUGGCUCCCACUCGCUUUGAAGGAGCUGCGUGCCUGGAGGUAGGCGAUGUCCCUGCUAUAAUCCCGGCCCACCCGAAUUUCUUAGAAAUUGCGGUCCACUCCUGCCUCUGCGCGGUCCGGCAACCCAGCCGCAGGUGAUCGCAGUGUCCCCUGCCCAGCACCCUGCACCAGUGACCUGAGCCUCACCUCUGUUGGAGUCCAUGUGCAACCCCAGCCUAGUGCUCGCAUGUCUAGAUAGGGAAGUGCAGCGAGGGAGUUGUGUGCAGAGGACCAGCCUCCCAUGUGACCUUUGCCUCACCUGCAUUGCCACCCAGGUCCUUUGGCCACGUUUGUCUUAUUCAGAGCAACAGAGCAGACAUAGUGCCCUGCUUCCCUCCCUUCCAUUCCCCACUCCUGGGAAGGUGAUGGGCACAUUUGUCCACAUCCUCCUUUGCUGUAACUUCUUGGGGCUUCCCACAGCCUAGCUGGCCCACCAGGCCCAAGGAUGGAGCUUCCCAAAACUUGGAAUGUUCCCAAGGGAGGGAUCUUUUUCCUGAUGUGCUCACCCUUGCAUUAAAUUAAGAAGCAUGAAAAGUAGUUAUUACUUUCAGGAUUCUUAACUAUUACAGAGCUUUUAGACUCAGCCAGACCCUGUUGAGUCACUUUGGCUAUUUCAACCCUCACAGCAACCCUCAAGGGAAAUACUUUUUAUGACAGCGUCUUACUAUUCAGACAAGGACAACACAAAGAGAUAAGUAACUAGCCCAGG
Molecule: non-coding RNA, 3477 nt
Organism: Callithrix jacchus (white-tufted-ear marmoset)
Lineage: Eukaryota; Metazoa; Chordata; Mammalia; Primates; Cebidae
Source: RefSeq, a predicted model, not a curated record